This 301-nucleotide ribosomal RNA is filed under the name uncultured bacterium. RNAcentral's name for it is "partial 16S ribosomal RNA". It matches the Rfam family "Bacterial small subunit ribosomal RNA", at positions 509 to 807 of the family's 1533-position model. The record is from RNAcentral.
CAGUAGCCGCGGGAAUACGAAGGGGGCUAGCGUUGCUCGGAAUCACUGGGCGUAAAGGGUGCGUAGGCGGGUCUUUAAGUCAGGGGUGAAAUCCUGGAGCUCAACUCCAGAACUGCCUUUGAUACUGAAGAUCUUGAGUUCGGGAGAGGUGAGUGGAACUGCGAGUGUAGAGGUGAAAUUCGUAGAUAUUCGCAAGAACACCAGUGGCGAAGGCGGCUCACUGGCCCGAUACUGACGCUGAGGCACGAAAGCGUGGGGAGCAAACAGGACUAGAUACCCCCGUAGUCCCUGUCUCUUAUAC